AUGGUUAAGUUAGAAAGGGCGCACGGUGGAUGCCUUGGCACUAGGAGCCGAUGAAGGACGGGACGAACACCGAUAUGCUUCGGGGAGCUGUAAGCAAGCUUUGAUCCGGAGAUUUCCGAAUGGGGAAACCCACUGCUCGUAAUGGAGUAGUAUCCAUACUUGAAUACAUAGAGUAUGAGAAGGCAUACCCGGGGAACUGAAACAUCUAAGUACCCGGAGGAAGAGAAAGCAAAUGCGAUUCCCUGAGUAGCGGCGAGCGAAACGGGAACAGCCCAAACCAAGAGGCUUGCCUCUUGGGGUUGUAGGACACUCUAUACGGAGUUACAAAGGAACGAUAUAAGCGAAGAGGUCUGGAAAGGCCCGCCAAAGAAGGUAACAGCCCUGUAACUGAAAUGUUGUUCUCUCCAGAGUGGAUCCUGAGUACGGCGGAACACGUGAAAUUCCGUCGGAAUCCGGGAGGACCAUCUCCCAAGGCUAAAUACUCCCUAGUGACCGAUAGUGAACCAGUACCGUGAGGGAAAGGUGAAAAGCACCCCGGAAGGGGAGUGAAAUAGAUCCUGAAACCGUGUGCCUACAAGUAGUCAGAGCCCGUUAAAGGGUGAUGGCGUGCCUUUUGUAGAAUGAACCGGCGAGUUACGAUCCCGUGCAAGGUUAAGCAGAAGAUGCGGAGCCGCAGCGAAAGCGAGUCUGAAUAGGGCGCAUGAGUACGUGGUCGUAGACCCGAAACCAGGUGAUCUACCCAUGUCCAGGGUGAAGUUCAGGUAACACUGAAUGGAGGCCCGAACCCACGCACGUUGAAAAGUGCGGGGAUGAGGUGUGGGUAGGGGUGAAAUGCCAAUCGAACCUGGAGAUAGCUGGUUCUCUCCGAAAUAGCUUUAGGGCUAGCCUCAAGGUAAGAGUCUCGGAGGUAGAGCACUGAUUGGACUAGGGGCCCCUACCGGGUUACCGAAUUCAGUCAAACUCCGAAUGCCGAUGACUUAUCCUUGGGAGUCAGACUGCGAGUGAUAAGAUCCGUAGUCGAAAGGGAAACAGCCCAGACCGCCAGCUAAGGUCCCAAAGUAUACGUUAAGUGGAAAAGGAUGUGGAGUUGCUUAGACAACCAGGAUGUUGGCUUAGAAGCAGCCACCAUUUAAAGAGUGCGUAAUAGCUCACUGGUCGAGUGACUCUGCGCCGAAAAUGUACCGGGGCUAAACGUAUCACCGAAGCUGCGGACUGUUCUAACGAACAGUGGUAGGAGAGCGUUCUAAGUGCUGUGAAGUCAGACCGGAAGGACUGGUGGAGCGCUUAGAAGUGAGAAUGCCGGUAUGAGUAGCGAAAGACGGGUGAGAAUCCCGUCCACCGAAUGCCUAAGGUUUCCUGAGGAAGGCUCGUCCGCUCAGGGUUAGUCGGGACCUAAGCCGAGGCCGAAAGGCGUAGGCGAUGGACAACAGGUUGAUAUUCCUGUACCACCUCCUCACCAUUUGAGCAAUGGGGGGACGCAGGAGGAUAGGGUAAGCGCGGUAUUGGAUAUCCGCGUCCAAGCAGUUAGGCUGGGAAAUAGGCAAAUCCGUUUCCCGUGAAGGCUGAGCUGUGAUGGCGAGCGAAAUUUAGUAGCGAAGUUCCUGAUUCCACACUGCCAAGAAAAGCCUCUAGCGAGGUGAGAGGUGCCCGUACCGCAAACCGACACAGGUAGGCGAGGAGAGAAUCCUAAGGUGAUCGAGAGAACUCUCGUUAAGGAACUCGGCAAAAUGACCCCGUAACUUCGGGAGAAGGGGUGCUUCUUAGGGUGUUAAAGCCCCGAGAAGCCGCAGUGAAUAGGCCCAGGCGACUGUUUAGCAAAAACACAGGUCUCUGCGAAGCCGUAAGGCGAAGUAUAGGGGCUGACGCCU
Molecule: ribosomal RNA, 1868 nt
Filed under: Bacillus pumilus
Lineage: Bacteria; Bacillati; Bacillota; Bacilli; Caryophanales; Bacillaceae
Description: partial 23S ribosomal RNA
Rfam family: Bacterial large subunit ribosomal RNA
Source: RNAcentral